Molecule: ribosomal RNA, 274 nt
Filed under: uncultured bacterium
Lineage: Bacteria
Description: partial 16S ribosomal RNA
Rfam family: Bacterial small subunit ribosomal RNA
Source: RNAcentral
AGACGGGGGGUGCUAGCGUUGUUCGGAAUUACUGGGCGUAAAGGGCGCGUAGGCGGCUCUGCGAGUCGGGCGUGAAAUCCCGGGGCUCAACCCCGGAACGGCGCUCGAUACUGCGGGGCUGGAGACCGGAAGAGGAGGGUGGAAUUCCCAGUGUAGAGGUGAAAUUCGUAGAUAUUGGGAGGAACACCGGUGGCGAAAGCGGCUCUCUGGGCCGGUUCUGACGCUGAGGCGCGAAAGCGUGGGGAGCAAACAGGAUUAGAAACCCUUGUAGUCC